GAUGAACGCUGGCGGCGUGCCUAAUACAUGCAAGUCGAGCGAACAGACGAGGAGCUUGCUCCUCUGACGUUAGCGGCGGACGGGUGAGUAACACGUGGAUAACCUACCUAUAAGACUGGGAUAACUUCGGGAAACCGGAGCUAAUACCGGAUAAUAUAUUGAACCGCAUGGUUCAAUAGUGAAAGACGGUUUUGCUGUCACUUAUAGAUGGAUCCGCGCCGCAUUAGCUAGUUGGUAAGGUAACGGCUUACCAAGGCAACGAUGCGUAGCCGACCUGAGAGGGUGGUCGGCCACACUGGAACUGAGACACGGUCAAGACUCCUACGGGAGGCAGCAGUAGGGAAUCUUCCGCAAUGGGCGAAAGCCUGACGGAGCAACGCCGCGUGAGUGAUGAAGGUCUUCGGAUCGUAAAACUCUGUUAUUAGGGAAGAACAAAUGUGUAAGUAACUAUGCACGUCUUGACGGUACCUAAUCAGAAAGCCACGGCUAACUACGUG
This 497-nucleotide ribosomal RNA is filed under the name uncultured bacterium. RNAcentral's name for it is "partial 16S ribosomal RNA". It matches the Rfam family "Bacterial small subunit ribosomal RNA", at positions 28 to 507 of the family's 1533-position model. The record is from RNAcentral.